AAAAAUGUUUGGUCUUGUGCCAAUCUCACACCUGUGUGCACCAUUGUCUGUAUUUGGUAGUUUGAGGGUUCUUCUGCCCGCAAGGGUAUGUUGACUUUCACGACCCAAUCAUCUUUGGUUGGUUGGGUCAGGCUACCGCCCUUUUUGAAAAACCUUUUUGUUUGUUUUGUUUUUGUCUGAACGAAGAGUUAAUCCUCACAGAUUAAUGAUUUGAAUA
This 217-nucleotide unclassified non-coding RNA is filed under the name uncultured Rhizophlyctis. Its description in RNAcentral is "sequence contains ITS1". The record is from RNAcentral. Lineage: Eukaryota; Fungi; Chytridiomycota; Chytridiomycetes; Spizellomycetales; Spizellomycetaceae.